GAUGAACGCUGGCGGCGUGCCUAAUACAUGCAAGUCGAGCGAACAGACGAGGAGCUUGCUCCUCUGACGUUAGCGGCGGACGGGUGAGUAACACGUGGAUAACCUACCUAUAAGACUGGGAUACCUUCGGGAAACCGUAGCUAAUACCGGAUAAUAUAUUGAACCGCAUGGUUCAAUAGUGAAAUACGGUUUUUCUUUCACUUAUAGAUGGAUCCGCGCCGCAUUAGCUAGUUGGUAAGGUAACGGCUUACCAAGGCAACGAUGCGUAGCCGACCUGAGAGGGUGAUCGGCCACACGGGAACUGAGACACGGUCCAGACUCCGACGGGAGGAAGCGGUAGGGAAUCUUCCGCAAUGGGCGAAAGCCUGACGGAGCAACGCCGCGUGAGUGAUGAAGGUCUUCGGAUCGUAAAACUAUGUUAUUAGGGAAGAACAAAUGUGUAAGUAACUAUGCACGUCUUGACGGUACCUAAUCAGAAAGCCACGGCUAACUACGUG
This 497-nucleotide ribosomal RNA is filed under the name uncultured bacterium. Its description in RNAcentral is "partial 16S ribosomal RNA". It matches the Rfam family "Bacterial small subunit ribosomal RNA", at positions 28 to 507 of the family's 1533-position model. The record is from RNAcentral.